UGUUAAAAUAUUAGUGGAUUCUACCAUGGGAAAUUGACAACUUAAACAAGAUGCAACUCUUAUGUCUUUGCAAAUAUAGAUUGAACCAACUAUUUAAUUUCACUACUAAUGCAAUUCUAUAUGUGUUUCCAGGUGAAAUACCCAAAGAAAUAAGCAAUCUCAUUGAGUUGGAGGUACUUGAUCUUGCAUUUAAUAGUUUUAGUGGUCCACCUGAAAUGGAGAUCUUCAACAUAUCCGGGCUGAGACUGAUUUCUCUUUCACUCAACAAUCUAUCAGGAAGCUUCCCGCCAAUCAUGUGUUCUAUCUUACCCAACAUUGAAAAGCUUUAUCUGAACACCUUAACCAAUCUUGUUGGGACUAUUCCGCAUUCCAUCUCCAAUUGUUCGAAACUUACUCAUCUAGAGCUUUCUUACAACCAACUCACAGGCUUGAUUCCCAAUUCUCUUGGAUAUUUGACUCAUCUACAACUCCUAAACUUGGGGGGAAACAAUUUAAUGAGUGACUCAUUGCAGAAAUUUGACAAAUCUUUCUCUAUCUUUGAACCCUCUAAAUGGCAUUAUUCCAGCCUCCAUGGGGAACCUUUCCACAUCUCUUAUAAGAUUUUACGCCAACAAUUGCAAAAUCAAAGGGCGAAUUCCAAAUGAAGUUGGGAACUUAAGCAGCUUAUUAUUCCUUUAUCUAUCCGGAAACAACUUGGUUGGAUCUAUUCCCACAUCAAUUGGCAACUUGAGAAACCUUCAGCGCUUCAACAUGAAGAACAACAAACUUACAGGAUUUGUUGGAGAUCAUAUAUGUAAAUUGCAGCAUUUGGGUGCUAUUUACUUGGGUCAAAAUCAACUUGCAGGAUCUCUUCCUAAUUGUUUAGGGAAUAUUACUUCCAUUAGGGAGAUAGAUCUCGGUUCCAACAAAUUGAGUUCCAAUAUACCACCAAGCUUAGGGAACCUUCAAGAUCUAGUGGUUUUUGACUUAUCGUCAAACAACAUGGUAGGCUCUUUACCUCCAGAAAUUGGAAAUCUAAAGGCUAUAACAAAGAUGGAUCUAUCGAUGAAUCAACCUAGAGAAAUUGGAGGCUUGCAAACUUUGGCAUACCUUUCUUUGAGACACAACAAUUUGCAAGGAGCUAUACCUGACUCAAUGAACUACAUGGUAGGUUUGGAAUUCCUAGACCUUUCUCACAAUAAUAUAUCGGGAAUCAUUCCCAUGUCUUUGGAGAAACUUCAAUGCCUCAAAUAUUUCAAUGUUUCAAGAACCUCUCAAGUCAGUUUUUCAUCUACAAUGAAGCAUUGUGUGGUUCUUCAAGAUUUAGUGUCCCGCCAUGCCCCACUUCAUCAAAGAACAGAUCAAAUAGGAAAAACUGCUAGUACUUUUUCUUUUGCUCACAAUUGCAGUUGUAUUUGCUCAUUUGACCAUUGUACUCCUAUUGAUAAGGUAUAGAAGAGGUAUAAGUGCUCCUCCGCAAGCUGAUUCAUUGUCUACCAUAGCAAGAGAAAAAAUUUCAUACUACGAAUUGCUCCGAGCAACUGAUGCGCUUAGCGAGAGUAAUUUGAUUGGUUCCGGAAGUUUUGGCUCAGUUUACAAAGGUGUUCUCAGUAGUGGAACAGUCAUUGCAGUUGAAGUGCUCAAUCUGCAACUGGAUGCGGCAUUCAAGAGCUUUGAUACGGAAUGUGAAGUUCUGCGUAGCCUUCGCCAUAGGAAUCUCGUUAAAGUCAUUACUAGUUGUUCCAAACUUGAUUUUAAGGCUUUAGUGCUCGAGUAUAUGCCAAAUGGAAGUCUUGAUAAGUAUUUGUAUUCACACAACUAUUUCCUCGACAUCACGCAGAGGCUAAGCUUAACGCUAGAUGUGGCAUGUGUGUUGGAAUAUCUUCACCAUGGGUGCUCAUCACCUGUGAUCCACUGUGAUGAGAAGCCUAGUAAUGUCUUGUUGGAUGAGGAUAUGGUUUCCCACCUUAGCGACUUUGGUAUUUCAAAACUGCUUGGUGAAGAUGAGAGUGAUUUGUACACUAAAACCUUAGCAACAUUGGGGUAUAUUGCGCCAGAGUUCAGACUGGAUGGUUUGGUAUCUACAAAGUGUGAUGUCUAUAGUUACGGGAUAGUGUUGCUGGAAAUGUUUACUAGGAGGAAGCCUAAUGAGUUUGAGGGAAAUCUUAGCUUGAAACAAUGGGUGAGUUAUUCUAUUCCAGAUGCAGUAAUGGACGUCGCAGAUGCCAACAUGCUAACGUCAACUGGUAAUUGCUUAAAGAAGGAGCUAAAUGUUGUGGCAUCAAUCAUUAAAGUUGGAUUAGGUUGUUGUAAUGAAUCUCCGGCGAGAAGGACCAACAUGAAAGAUGUUGUAGGGAUGCUACAGAAGAUCAAGAAUCAACUUCUAACAUGUUGAGCAUGUUGUUGGAAUCUGUUGUUCCAAAUAAUUUAUUUGCUGCAAAUAUUUGAUUAGUUUUGGAUUCCUACAAUUCUG
Capsicum annuum is the source of this 2452-nucleotide RNA transcript. It is a transcript of the gene named probable LRR receptor-like serine/threonine-protein kinase At3g47570, with no coding region annotated. Lineage: Eukaryota; Viridiplantae; Streptophyta; Magnoliopsida; Solanales; Solanaceae. The transcript has 2 exons. The record is from RefSeq and is a predicted model, not a curated record.